GGUGCGGUAAGAGCGCACCGCAUGGCUGGUAACAGUUCAUGGCGAGGUAAACUCCACGCGUAGCAAGACCAAAUAGGUGUCCAUUACUUGUCGCCUGCAGGGGACACGGGUAGGUUGCUCGAGUGUACUGGCAACGGUACGCCUAGAUGAAUGAUCGUUCACGACAGAACCCGGCUUAUCGGUUUACCAAAACC
RNAcentral lists this RNase P RNA (194 nucleotides) under Psychrobacter sp. Its description in RNAcentral is "partial RNase P RNA component class A". It matches the Rfam family "Bacterial RNase P class A", at positions 161 to 367 of the family's 367-position model. From Rfam's summary of the family: Ribonuclease P (RNase P) is a ubiquitous endoribonuclease, found in archaea, bacteria and eukarya as well as chloroplasts and mitochondria. Its best characterised activity is the generation of mature 5'-ends of tRNAs by cleaving the 5'-leader elements of precursor-tRNAs. Lineage: Bacteria; Pseudomonadati; Pseudomonadota; Gammaproteobacteria; Moraxellales; Moraxellaceae. The record is from RNAcentral.